This 942-nucleotide long non-coding RNA is filed under the name Homo sapiens (human). RNAcentral's name for it is "HSALNT0299857". Lineage: Eukaryota; Metazoa; Chordata; Mammalia; Primates; Hominidae. The record is from RNAcentral.
GCUGGAGUGGGUGUGGUUGACGCUGGAGGGCAGCCUCUGAGCAGCUCCCCCAGGACGGAAGCGAAGGCUGCAGGCGGGGCUUGGGUCAGGCUCCUGGGAGAAGCAGUGACGAGGCUGGGUGCCUGCAGGAAGACCCUCAGCUGGCUGCAUGUUCAGCCCUGCAGAGUUAGAACUUUAAGUUUGGAGACUCUUCUUAAAUUUCACUGAAGUGGAGUGAGAACUGAAGUGGUGGCAAAAAAGGAUGCUCAGGGCACUGCACAUGAGAGAGAAGUCUCAACAGCUGCAGAGGAACCUCCACUUCCCUCCCUCUUCUGCCCCAUCCUCCCUGCAUCUACUGGCUGCCCAGCGCUUGUUCUGCUUUUUUCAGACACGACUCAGCUCAGGGAGCAGGAUCGGGGAAAGGAGCCCUCCUGCCUAACCCUCAACGCAGAAAGAGCAGCGGCUGCGCCAGGACUCCCCAUGAAGUGAAGUGGAAACGAUUUCACAGCAAAUGGGGUGGAUGGCCAGGGGCUCCUGUCAGGUCUGAGACCCGGGGCCGGGAGUGGGCUGGGCAUGUGAGCAGGGCCCCAAACCAUGGGCAUUGGUUCCUGCUUCCUCUACUGUUUCUAUUUUGGCACCUGCUUGAAAGCAGUUCUUCAUCAUCUGGCUAGAUUGUCACAGUUUGGGGUAAAAGAGAAAUAAAACAGGCAACUUCUAUUUCAAUCUGUUCUUGCUGCUGCUUCUAACCGCUGCUUUGUUUGCGCAGUGGGUGGGAUGCACAGGGGCCCUCCAAACUCCAAUCUUGACGUGCCCGCGGGGGCUUUGUGGGAGGCUCCUGCUAACCAGGUUUGGGAAAACCACCAGGCAGUCCUGGCAGUCUGGGCAAGGCCAGGGCUUCCAAGGAAAGAGAAAUGUCUAAGACUUCCUAAUGAGUGUAUUUCUGUGCGCUUAGCUGUGUUCUUG